GUGGGGAAUCUUAGACAAUGGGGGCAACCCUGAUCUAGCCAUGCCGCGUGAUCGAUGAAGGCCUUAGGGUUGUAAAGAUCUUUCAGCUGGGAAGAUAAUGACGGUACCAGCAGAAGAAGCCCCGGCUAACUCCGUGCCAGCAGCCGCGGUAAUACGGAGGGGGCUAGCGUUAUUCGGAAUUACUGGGCGUAAAGCGCACGUAGGCGGACCAGAAAGUUGGGGGUGAAAUCCCGGGGCUCAACCUCGGAACUGCCUUCAAAACUCCUGGUCUUGAGUUCGAGAGAGGAGAGUAGAAUUCCGAGUGUGGAGGUGAAAUUCGUAGAUAUUCGGAGGAACACCAGUGGCGAAGGCGGCUCACUGGCUCGAUACUGACGCUAAGGUGCGAAAGCGUGGGGAGCAAACAGGAUUAGAUACCCGAGUAGUCC
RNAcentral lists this ribosomal RNA (425 nucleotides) under uncultured bacterium. RNAcentral's name for it is "partial 16S ribosomal RNA". It matches the Rfam family "Bacterial small subunit ribosomal RNA", at positions 354 to 796 of the family's 1533-position model. The record is from RNAcentral.